CAGUCGCCGCGGUAAUACGGAGGGUGCGAGCGUUAAUCGGAAUUACUGGGCGUAAAGAGUGCGUAGGUGGUUAAUUAAGUUAUCUGUGAAAUUCCUGGGCUUAACCUGGGCAGGUCAGAUAAUACUGGUUAACUCGAGUAUGGGAGAGGGUAGUGGAAUUUCCGGUGUAGCGGUGAAAUGCGUAGAGAUCGGAAGGAACACCAGUGGCGAAGGCGGCUACCUGGCCUAAUACUGACACUGAGGCACGGAAGCGUGGGGAGCAAACAGGAUUAGAUACCCCAGUAGUCCCUGUCUCUUAUAC
This 301-nucleotide ribosomal RNA is filed under the name uncultured bacterium. RNAcentral's name for it is "partial 16S ribosomal RNA". It matches the Rfam family "Bacterial small subunit ribosomal RNA", at positions 509 to 807 of the family's 1533-position model. The record is from RNAcentral.